AAAGCCCUUAGAAAUAAUGAUGGACUCAGUAAGCCCCUCUGCCCCCAGAAUGUGGUAGCUAAUUCAAUAUCCCUGUACAUUUAAAAACCUGUACACUGUGUUCAUAGCAGCUUUACUCAUAAUAGCCAAAAACUGGAAACAACCUAAAUGUCCUUCAACAGGUAAAGAGUUCAACUAUGGUACAGCCAUACCAUAGAAUACUACUCAGCAAUCCAAAGAAACAAAUUAUUGAUCCAAACAACAAGGUGAAGGAGUUGCCAGGUUAUUAUAUUGAGCAAAAAACCAAUCCCAAAAAAUUACAUGAUGUAUGGUUCCUUUUAUAUAACAUUUUAGAAAUGACAAAAGUUUAGAAACAGAAGACAGAUCCAGUGGUUGCCAAGCGUUAGGGCCGAAGUGAAAGAGGUGGCUGGAGGGAGGUGGGUGUGGUCAUAAAACGUCUGCACCAGUGAUCCUUUGGUGCUGGAACUGUACAUUUCUUACACUGUGGUGGUGAAUACAGGAACCUACCCAGGUGUUAAAAUUGUACAGAGCCUAAUGCACACAAAAAGAGUACAAAACUAGGAAAUCUGAAUAAGAUUGGUGGAUUAUAUGAAUGUCAGUAUCCGGGUUGUGAUAGUAUAGUAUAGUUUUGCAAAAUGUUACUGUGUUAGUUCAUUCGGGCUGCUCUCACAGAAUACCACAGACUGAUGGCUGUGAACAAAAAUUUGUUUCUCACAGUGCUAGCAGCUGGGAACUCCAAGAUCAAGAUUGUAGCAGAGAGAGGGUUUACUCACAAGGCAGCCACAUGAGGAAGUGAGAGCAUGAGCCUCAAAUUCGCUUCCCUGAAAAUAGGGACUCAGGGAUAUUUGUGGGAUGGGGGCAAGGUGGUCUGAAAUGUGGAGAGAGGUGAUUGGAGGUGAGGAGAGGUGAGGUAACUGAUGAUCUGUGCAAGCGUAGUCAGACCCAUGCCUCUUCAUAGGACCCAUGUUCACAAAAUGGCAGCAUUAGCAUGAUGUGAGGGUGGAGUUUUAGCCUCUUGAUGUCAAAAGGUUGCCUAUUGGACAUCUGCACGGGCCCAGUUGAUGAGCGGGUAGUCUCAACUGGCCUGAAGUGGGCAAGG
Molecule: long non-coding RNA, 1099 nt
Filed under: Equus caballus (horse)
Lineage: Eukaryota; Metazoa; Chordata; Mammalia; Perissodactyla; Equidae
Description: lncRNA (ENSECAG00000047321.1)
Source: RNAcentral